AGAGUUUGAUCAUGGCUCAGAUUGAACGCUGGCGGCAGGCCUAACACAUGCAAGUCGAACGGUAACAUUUCUAGCUUGCUAGAAGAUGACGAGUGGCGGACGGGUGAGUAAUGCUUGGGAACUUGCCUUUGCGAGGGGGAUAACAGUUGGAAACGACUGCUAAUACCGCAUAACGUCUACGGACCAAACGGGGCUUAGGCUCCGGCGCAAAGAGAGGCCCAAGUGAGAUUAGCUAGUUGGUAAGGUAAUGGCUUACCAAGGCAACGAUCUCUAGCUGUUCUGAGAGGAAGAUCAGCCACACUGGAACUGAGACACGGUCCAGACUCCUACGGGAGGCAGCAGUGGGGAAUAUUGCACAAUGGGGGAAACCCUGAUGCAGCCAUGCCGCGUGUGUGAAGAAGGCCUUCGGGUUGUAAAGCACUUUCAGUUGUGAGGAAAAGUUAGUAGUUAAUACCUGCUAGCCGUGACGUUAACAACAGAAGAAGCACCGGCUAACUCCGUGCCAGCAGCCGCGGUAAUACGGAGGGUGCGAGCGUUAAUCGGAAUUACUGGGCGUAAAGCGCACGCAGGCGGUUUGUUAAGCUAGAUGUGAAAGCCCCGGGCUCAACCUGGGAUAGUCAUUUAGAACUGGCAGACUAGAGUCUUGGAGAGGGGAGUGGAAUUCCAGGUGUAGCGGUGGAAUGCGUAGAUAUCUGGAGGAACAUCAGUGGCGAAGGCGACUCUCUGGCCAAAGACUGACGCUCAUGUGCGAAAGUGUGGGUAGCGAACAGGAUUAGAUACCCUGGUAGUCCACACCGUAAACGCUGUCUACUA
Molecule: ribosomal RNA, 813 nt
Filed under: uncultured marine microorganism
Description: bacterial SSU rRNA
Rfam family: Bacterial small subunit ribosomal RNA
Source: RNAcentral